AAAAAAUUAGUUAAUAAAUAACAUUAGUUUGUCAAACUAAAAUAAUCAAUUUUUUUGAUAUUUUUUA
RNAcentral lists this transfer RNA (67 nucleotides) under Lydina aenea. RNAcentral describes it as "tRNA-Asp". Lineage: Eukaryota; Metazoa; Arthropoda; Insecta; Diptera; Tachinidae. The record is from RNAcentral.